AACGUAGGUCACAAGCGUUGUCCGGAAUUACUGGGUGUAAAGGGAGCGCAGGCGGGAGAACAAGUUGGAAGUGAAAUCCAUGGGCUCAACCCAUGAACUGCUUUCAAAACUGUUCUUCUUGAGUAGUGCAGAGGUAGGCGGAAUUCCCGGUGUAGCGGUGGAAUGCGUAGAUAUCGGGAGGAACACCAGUGGCGAAGGCGGCCUACUGGGCACCAACUGACGCUGAGGCUCGAAAGUGUGGGUAGCAAACAGG
Molecule: ribosomal RNA, 253 nt
Filed under: Faecalibacterium prausnitzii
Lineage: Bacteria; Bacillati; Bacillota; Clostridia; Eubacteriales; Oscillospiraceae
Description: partial 16S ribosomal RNA
Rfam family: Bacterial small subunit ribosomal RNA
Source: RNAcentral